AACCGACACAAAGAUAUACAUAUAUACAUACAUAUGUGUGUGUGUAUAUACAUAUAUCUACACAUACAUAUAUAUAUACUCAUAUACAUACAUGCAUAUAUAUAUA
RNAcentral lists this microRNA precursor (106 nucleotides) under Mus caroli (Ryukyu mouse). RNAcentral's name for it is "miRNA (MGP_CAROLIEiJ_G0007516.1)". Lineage: Eukaryota; Metazoa; Chordata; Mammalia; Rodentia; Muridae. The record is from RNAcentral.